AGUUUUUCACUCUGCAUAUGUACCUUUGGGCAAUUGUCCUGCUAUUUUCUUAGGCUAUUAUUCCUCACACUGGAAUUUCUGAAUGAAAAGAUACUGUCAAAUUGACCCUCAAAGUGUGCAGCUGAUUCAUAUUCUCACCGGCAGGUCCUGCGUGCAUCUCCCAGGCCCCUCACCAACACUUCCACACUCGCCACCUAAGAGUUGGAAACUGGACCCUGGCUCUACAGAGAAACUCUUAACUACUUCAUGCUGAAACUCCCUCAUGCCAACUGGUUGCUGAAAUGACUGCCAACUGCUCUCCACUGCCAUGUCCUUGCCUUGCUUUGGCAUGCUGACUAGACCUCGGCUGGAUCUGUCAAACCUAGUGCCAGCCUCAUCCCAGUAGAAGCAUCUGAUCCCAUCUUUUGACCAUUUCUCCAGCCUUCCCCACCAUGGCGAUCACUGUGCCUAGCAGUAGCUCUAAAUGAAAGGGGAUUUAACCUCUUUUAUUUAUUUUAAAAUUUUUAUUGAAGCAUAAUUGACGUACAGUCAGGAGUAUAACUAUUCAACCUCUUUUAAAAUGUGAUGCCCUAAAUCAGAAAAGCAGUAUUAAGAUGUUAUCCGACAAUGAAUAUCAACUCUUGUUAUAGUUACUAUGCUUUUAUUAAGCGAAUUAAAAUCACCUUGACUAUGAAGUCAUCAAACUUUUAAAACAUGACUUUCUAUACAUUGUUACCAUACUGGGUACUUUAUGUUCUACUGGUUGAUGCAAAAUAUAUGCUGGCUCAAUAAUAUGAACUGCUCUAAACAGAUUCUGCUCAUAACAAUGUAAAAUUUGGAAAGAAGAAGUAACAAAAAGAAUUAUCAACGAUGAUCAAAAUGAUCCCGAGCAACUAUAACCCAAAAUUACAUAGGUCCUCAGGAGACCAUUCUCAAUGGAGAAGAGGAUUCCUCCAUUUCCCUGCUGGCACCACAAUGAGAGUGAAAAAAGCACUGAGAGGUGGGGCUCUGGAACAUUCUGAUAGGAUUGUCAAUCAUUUGGCUCUGCUACCCCGGCCACAGAGGGAGCACGUAACCCUUCAAGCAUAACAGUAUGGACACUAGGAGGGGUCUCCUAAAAUCCUCGGAUGAGUGGAUCAUGUACUUUAUGAUGCUGUCAGAAGUCCACUUGUAUGUGCUGGUAUGCCUGAGGACAACGCUGAGAUCACAGAUGAAAGUGGGACCAAGAAAUGGAGAUAGAAACCAAUUUUUGCUUGAGUAACUGUAAUCAGUCAUGUCUGAAGACAUAUAACCUCUAGACGUUUUAGUUAGAAGAACCAAUAAAUUCUUAUUAAAAAAAUUUUUUUGAACUACCUUGAGAUGGAUUUCUAACACUAAUAACUGAAAGAAUUUAGACUUAUAGACUAUAGAAUUGAACUAUAAAAUUAAUUACAUUAGUACAUAAAAAUUUAGCUGUUGUUUUUACCUAGCCAGAAUCCUUUCUUCCCUUGGAAAACUGCACCUCCUUUAUUCCACAUUGAUCUGAUUAAGCUGCCAAAAAUAGGACCCAUUCCCCAUUUACACUCAUGAGUAGGCAAAUGGCCUAUGUGUGGCCAAUUAUAAUAGCCUAUCUCUGUCCACAGUGAAUAUCUGAAGAUGGACAGCUGACCCAUGCUGGGCCAAUCUGUGUCUUUCUCUACAACUUUUCCUCACAGGGGAGAUUGCCUUUUUCCCCUGUCAUCACAAGGCACAUAGGGUAUCAGCUGACAGUUGUCAGUGAUCACAUGGACCAAAUCCAUUUACAGAAGAGGGUAAGAUCCAAGAGAAGCAGAACCAUGGAAUGAAGCAAAAAGAGCUCUUUUUGUGCCCCUGGUUCCAAUAAUGUUUAAUAUCAGAUUCACCAUCAUCCUAGACAGUUAAUGAUAGAUCCUUCUUCCCCUUAAGCUAGUGUAAACUGGUUUCUAUCUUGUAAUCUAAAAAGUCUGAACAUGAUGUUCUAGUCCUGCACAGUUCAAUAGGGUAGCCACUAGCCACACAGGGCUAUUAAAAUUAAAUUAAAUAAAAAAAUUCAAUUCCUUAGGUGCAUCAGCCAUAUUUCAAGUGCUCAGUAGUCACAUGAAGCUAUUGGCUAUUUUAUCAGACAGUGCAAACAUUCCUAUCACUAUGGAAAGUUCUAUCUAGACAGUGCUAUUCCAGUUAAGAAAUACCAAAAAAGAAAUUUUGUUAGCUUGUUAAGUGUGGAAAAUUAAAUUAGCAGUCAAAAUACUUGCCAAGGGCAAUAGCUAUUCACACCCAAGUAAGAUGUAUGCAGCAAGCAAGGAUCAACUUAGGAAAAGGUCAAACAGACAAAACUAUACAACAGCAAAAUGACACAUUAUAACUAUGAAUAAUACUGCAUCUAAAGGAAACUAAAGUGUGCUAAGAAAAGAAAAUGUGUACUAAAGUGAUGUGAAGAUGUUUAAAUUAGAUGCCUCAGCCAGGAUUGAAUGUAGAAAAAGAAUUGAGAAAGAAGAUUGUUUCCAGUAUUGUUCUGGGCAGAGGAUAACCAGCUGGGAAAAACUACAAAAAGGGACAGAAGAAAUAACAGGAAAAUAAGGAUGCUGGGCAAGGAGUAUGCCACAGGAUGUGCUGGGUUUUGGGAUGAGUGAGCAGCUUCUCUAGCAUGCAAGAACUUUAAAACUGAUCGCUAUAGUCAACUCUAGACUAUCCAAAUUACGUAUUUCCCAUUAAAAAAAGCCUACUUUCGUGGGCAAAGGGUCUGUUUGUUUCUAUGCAGAAGAUCAAGGCCUAGCUUGGAUACCCAGAAA
Manis javanica (Malayan pangolin) is the source of this 2765-nucleotide non-coding RNA. NCBI's taxonomy places the organism in Eukaryota, Metazoa, Chordata, Mammalia, Pholidota, Manidae. The record is from RefSeq and is a predicted model, not a curated record.